RNAcentral lists this non-coding RNA (74 nucleotides) under Desulfocapsa sulfexigens. Its description in RNAcentral is "c-di-GMP sequence". It matches the Rfam family "c-di-GMP-I-GGC riboswitch aptamer". The record is from RNAcentral. RNAcentral also lists the same sequence under 1 other name. Lineage: Bacteria; Pseudomonadati; Thermodesulfobacteriota; Desulfobulbia; Desulfobulbales; Desulfocapsaceae.
AUAGAAAAUGCCAAACCUGUUGGAAAGCAGGGACGGAAAACUGCGGGUCUUUAGAGAUAGCCGAGUUGCCUAAU